GACGAACGCUGGCGGCGCGCCUAACACAUGCAAGUCGAACGAGAGAGAGGGAGCUUGCUUCCUUGAUCGAGUGGCGAACGGGUGAGUAACGCGUGAGGAACCUGCCUCAAAGAGGGGGACAACAGUUGGGAACGACUGCUAAUACCGCAUAAGCCCACGGCUCGGCAUCGAGCAGAGGGAAAAGGAGCAAUCCGCUUUGAGAUGGCCUCGCGUCCGAUUAGCUAGUUGGUGAGGUAACGGCCCACCAAGGCGACGAUCGGUAGCCGGACUGAGAGGUUGAACGGCCACAUUGGGACUGAGACACGGCCCAGACUCCUACGGGAGGCAGCAGUGGGGAAUAUUGCACAAUGGGGGAAACCCUGAUGCAGCGACGCCGCGUGGAGGAAGAAGGUCUUCGGAUUGUAAACUCCUGUUGUUGAGGAA
RNAcentral lists this ribosomal RNA (423 nucleotides) under uncultured bacterium. Its description in RNAcentral is "bacterial SSU rRNA". It matches the Rfam family "Bacterial small subunit ribosomal RNA", at positions 28 to 446 of the family's 1533-position model. The record is from RNAcentral.